UACAGAGGGUGCGAGCGUUAAUCGGAAUUACUGGGCGUAAAGGGUGCGUAGGUGGCGGCUUAAGUUAGGUGUGAAAGUCCUGGGCUUAACCUGGGGAUUGCGCCUGAUACUGGGCUGCUAGAGUAUUGUAGAGGAAAGUGGAAUUUCCGGUGUAGCGGUGAAAUGCGUAGAUAUCGGAAGGAACAUCGGUGGCGAAGGCGGCUUUCUGGACAGAUACUGACACUGAGGCACGAAAGCGUGGGGAGCAAACAGG
Molecule: ribosomal RNA, 253 nt
Filed under: uncultured bacterium
Lineage: Bacteria
Description: partial 16S ribosomal RNA
Rfam family: Bacterial small subunit ribosomal RNA
Source: RNAcentral